This 232-nucleotide unclassified non-coding RNA is filed under the name soil metagenome. Its description in RNAcentral is "partial internal transcribed spacer 1". The record is from RNAcentral.
UUGAAUUUUAAUGAAGAGUUUGGUUGUAGCUGGCCCAUUCAUUUGGGCAUGUGCACACCUUCCUCUUUCAUCCCACACACACCUGUGAACCUGUGAGACAGAGAUGGGGAAUUUACUUGCUGCUUUUUGGAAUACAAAGGCAAUAGGUUAUUGGACCCCCCCUCUGUCUACUCAAUUAAUAUAAACUCAAUUUAUUUUAAAACGAAUGUAAUGGAUGCAACACAUCUCAUAC